Molecule: long non-coding RNA, 1126 nt
Organism: Oncorhynchus tshawytscha (Chinook salmon)
Lineage: Eukaryota; Metazoa; Chordata; Actinopteri; Salmoniformes; Salmonidae
Source: Ensembl
UGCUAGCUAACUAGCUAUUGCCACUAACGUUACUUCCGUCUGUUGUUACUUCCAUCUGUUGUUGCUAACAUACUGUUGUUGCUAACAUGCUGCUAGCUAACUAGCUAUUGCCACUAACGUUACUUCCAUCUGUGGUUGUUGCUAACAUGCUGCUAGCUAACUAGCUAUUGCCACUAACGUUACUUCCAUCUGUGGUUGUUGCUAACAUGCUGCUAGCUAGCUAAGGUAGAUGACUGCACUGAAAUCUUACCAGCUAGCUACCACAAAUGUCCGAGCCAAACCAAAUGAUCUGCCUGGGAUAGGUAUAACACAACCUACAAAAACCUAUACAGUAGCUAGUUAACUAAGCUAACUCAGUUAGCUAACUGUUUGUUGUGUUUAUGUUAGCCAUCAGCGUCAAAACAGUUACUGUAUUAGCUGGCUAAAAGUUACUUACUGAGUCUCAAAAUGUUCAUAGUCUAUCCGCUUAGAAAGAAUCAUCUCCGUGGUCUCCUGCUUUGAGCUUUUGCUAACUACCGUAACUAGAUGUUUGAUAGUAACGGACGGCGAAGGAAAGCGGAUUUCGGUUAGGACCGUGGCAGAUUUCGGUUAGUUUCGAGGCAGAUUUCGGUUAGGACCGUGGCAGAUUUCGGUUAGGACCGUGGCAGAUUUCGGUUAGGAUCGAGGCAGAUUUCAGUUAGGAUCGAGGCAGAUUUCAGUUAGGAUCGAGGCAGAUUUCGGUUAGGACCGAGGCAGAUUUCGGUUAGGAUCGAGGCAGAUUUCGGUUAGCUUCGAGGCAGCAACAACUCACCUCUCGCGCAAAACUCACAUCAAACUUCAGCACAUGCGCACGGGUGACGUGUUGUUCGCCAACGAACAACGCCAAUGAACGGCUCUUUCUGAUGAACUUCGAGAACCGAAUAGCAUUGUGUGAAAGAGCCGUUCAUUCGAAUCCCUGCUCUGCAUUCUACUGCUUUUUGAGCUAAAACAAACAAUGUUUUUCUGCAGAUAAAUUACAACAUAGGUAUCUAAAGUGGGCGAAUCGUCACUGCAGAAACAAUAAAUUGUGUCGAGAGCGUGUCAAUCUGGUCCACUCUGAUUUUUUUUCAAUGCAUAAAAACAGAUGCACAAUCGAGAGCAUCCUGUC